Non-coding RNA from Paramisgurnus dabryanus, 692 nucleotides. The record is from RefSeq and is a predicted model, not a curated record. NCBI's taxonomy places the organism in Eukaryota, Metazoa, Chordata, Actinopteri, Cypriniformes, Cobitidae.
GUGGUGAGAUCGUAACAAGGGCGUGGUGAUCUUGAACCUGCUUACGUCACGAGUCAUUUUUUAGACCCACCAUCCAAUAGGAAAAUUCAACUGCAGUACCCACCGUUUAACCUGAAGAGGGCAGCACUCAGACGUUUUUACACCAUAUAUUGUACACUGUUAGAUGUCGCUGUAGAUUUAGCAGUACUUUACUGUAAAAAUCCACAGUACUAUACUGUAUGUGUACAUUACAGUACAGUACUGCAGUUCAUAAUGCAUUCUGGGUAAAUUUGUUUGAGCGGGAAAAUUUUACAGUAUAUUUUGGUCUUGAUGUAACCUUGCUGUAGCCAUUGCUGUAAUGUGCCAGGUGUACUUGCAAUAAUCAGAGAAAGUGCGCCAGAGUCAAAUCACACAGAGGGAGAGAGAGCACAACUCCUGGCUGCAGCUGAAGGAGGACGAUUGAUUUCUGGCAGUUCGUCUUACCAUUGCUUGUAAGCUGGAUUGGGUAAGAUGGAUCAUCUUUAAAGGCACCAGGAGUUAAGGCAGAUGUGGAGGCACAACGGGUGAUACCAGACACACACCAAGCACAUUAUGUUCGGACAUUCAAUCAUGACAGGAUCCAGGUGGAUGCUGUCCAUUGAGAAAAGAGUUUGUUCAGCGGUUUCUGGAUAGAAUUAAUUCCAAAGAUGGGAAAAAGUGCACAUCCAGACAAG